CGACUCAUUACGGGUGUGACGGAGCAGGAAUUCGGCUGGUCCGUUCCCUCGACCCUGAAUAUCACCGGACUGGCGGAAGGAAUGGAGAGAGAUUCCGUCAUCGCAUUG
Nanorana parkeri is the source of this 108-nucleotide long non-coding RNA. RefSeq lists it as uncharacterized. The transcript is spliced from 2 exons. NCBI's taxonomy places the organism in Eukaryota, Metazoa, Chordata, Amphibia, Anura, Dicroglossidae. The record is from RefSeq and is a predicted model, not a curated record.